Molecule: long non-coding RNA, 424 nt
Organism: Pezoporus flaviventris
Lineage: Eukaryota; Metazoa; Chordata; Aves; Psittaciformes; Psittacidae
Exons: 3
Source: RefSeq, a predicted model, not a curated record
AUCUCCAGAAGACCUUGAAAACAGCAGAUCAUGCUUCAGCCAUCCAGGGAGGUUCCUCAUCCUAGCCAUUAAACCUAGCUGGGAUGCAACCUAGCUCUUAGAGUGGGACAGGGAGGGAAGAAGGAGGCUAAAGCUUUGGAUCUACUGACUUCAAUAUCCUACAGUGGAAAAGAGCUGCAGAGAUGAGAUUAGAACUUGCAGAUUCCUGGCACCUUGUCCAUGCUGAGUCCACAGACAAUUUAACUUCUACAGCAUUUACUGUGCUAAUGCAUGGGAAAUGACCAAGCAGUUCACCCAUGUAAGAGUCUUCUGUAGCACAGCCUCCAUGAUGGAAAAAGUCAGAUGUGCUCAGUACAGGCAAAGGAAACAAGCAGCCUUGAAACAAAAGUCACAGAACUCUGGGAGCAGCCUGCACAACUGUGUU